GGGUACGGGUUUUUAGGAAACCGGAAACGGAUCCUUUUUUUUUGAGAAGUUUGUCAAAACUUGGUCAUUUUAAAAGGAAGUGAAAAGUCGUUAACAAGGUUUCCGUAGGUGAACCUGCGGAAGGUUCAUU
RNAcentral lists this ribosomal RNA (130 nucleotides) under uncultured Acaulosporaceae. RNAcentral describes it as "partial 18S ribosomal RNA". Lineage: Eukaryota; Fungi; Glomeromycota; Glomeromycetes; Diversisporales; Acaulosporaceae. The record is from RNAcentral.